GACGAACGCUGGCGGCGUGCUUAACACAUGCAAGUCGAACGGAAAGGCUCCAGCUUGCUGGAGUACUCGAGUGGCGAACGGGUGAGUAACACGUGGGUAAUCUGCCCUGCACUCUGGGAUAAGCCUGGGAAACUGGGUCUAAUACUGGAUAUGACCUUUCUCCUUAUGGGGUUUGGUGGAAAGUUUUUCGGUGUAGGAUGAGCCCGCGGCCUAUCAGCUUGUUGGUGGGGUGAUGGCCUACCAAGGCGACGACGGGUAGCCGGCCUGAGAGGGUGAUCGGCCACAUUGGGACUGAGAUACGGCCCAGACUCCUACGGGAGGCAGCAGUGGGGAAUAUUGCACAAUGGGAGGAAGCCUGAUGCAGCGACGCCGCGUGAGGGAUGACGGCCUUCGGGUUGUAAACCUCUUUCAGCAGGGACGAAGCGUAAGUGACGGUACCUGCAGAAGAAGCACCGGCUAACUAUGUG
RNAcentral lists this ribosomal RNA (467 nucleotides) under uncultured bacterium. RNAcentral's name for it is "partial 16S ribosomal RNA". It matches the Rfam family "Bacterial small subunit ribosomal RNA", at positions 28 to 507 of the family's 1533-position model. The record is from RNAcentral.